This is a long non-coding RNA of Astatotilapia calliptera (eastern happy), 1513 nucleotides long. The record is from Ensembl. Lineage: Eukaryota; Metazoa; Chordata; Actinopteri; Cichliformes; Cichlidae.
CUCCUAUUAGUGCAAAGCAGUCUUGCUGUUUUCUUCUGGUCUCCACUACAAUAUUUUCCUUUUUGGACAUUUCUCUAAACCUUAGAUGGCGGUGUUGGGAAACCAGUAGAGCAGUUUCUGAAAUAUCCAGACCAACCUGUCUGGCAUCAAACUUUAGCAGGCUGUGUUAACGUGUGCAUUUUAAAGCAAUUGAAAGUGAACCUAAUAAAGUGGCCACCUUUUACUGAAACCUUACGAUCAUGAGACGACACUUUUAACCCACCCAACUGCUUCACUUUGGAAAUUUUGGGGUGUGAGGAGGGGUUGCCACUGUAGCUGUACCUUCUUAGCUUUUCACUGCACUGUAGUACUGAGGUUGGAGUAGUUUAGAUACAAUAUUUGAAAGUGCUGAACUUCAAAUGUGUUUAAAAAAAAAAAAAUGCUAAUCUAUUUUCAGGUUUCUUCUGCAGGAGGUUGAGGUAUAAUUGGGGCACAGUUCAGGUGCUGACUUGAAUGUUCCAACACAAAGAGCAGCGCAAGGCUUGAAGGAAGAAGCCUGGUCUAGAGUAUUGAUUUCUUUUUCUUUCUCCCCUUCCUUUUUAUUUUUUAUCUCAUGCUCCACUUGAGGCUGACGGUCGCUGAUGAAAUGGCCUGCUUUGAAGUGCGCUUCCCUACAGAGCAGCCACCUCACACUGCCCGACUGUCAUUUUAGGGGCACUGCAAGGACGUAGAUGGGAGCUGCUUUAUAAGCCAGUUGCUUUUUUUUUUCUUCUCUCUUCCCCCUUUUGUAAAGAAAGCAUUUCUGAAGUAUCCACUGUUUUUUGGGGGGAGUGGGGUUUCAGCACACUGCUCAGUUUAAUGAAAACAAUAUUUAUGGCAUGCUCAAUCAUGUAGUCAUUCUAGCUCUCUGUUUGGCUCCAGCAGAUAAGAAGGCUGCUCUUUGAGCUCCUUAUAAAGCUUCCCCUCCGAUAUUUACGGUUCCAUUAGCCUGCGUGCGCGAGCAGAAAUGUCUUUCCCUGAAAGGAGUCGUGUUUUUUUUUUUUUUUUGUUUUGUUUUAAAAGCAGUGUCAAUAUUAAGAUUUCAUGACACUUCUCUGGUUUGUGGAUCUUUGCUGGAAACGGAUGAUGUGUGAGGGAGCUUUGGCUGAGCGACGGCGUGCUUGGUUUUUAUCUGACAUGUUAGCGGCUCUUCUCGCAGCUGAAACUGGUCUUAUCGUGGCACUACAAAUGAUUUUGAACUGUGUGCAGUGAUUACAUGCUGCUAGUGAAAACAGGAUUAGGCUUCAGCAGUUAACGGGCGUCACAGACGAGUUGGUGUGAGUUUAUAGCACGUUGUGCUUUUAGUUGUUUGACAUAAAGAAAUGCAUUUUCAGUGGGUUUCCUCCAGCUGUGCACUGAAUCAGCAGUGUUUUGGCAGGUGCAGAAAAUUGCAUCGACUUCUCUUUGAAUGCUCAUUCAAAGAUUUCAUUCAGAUCGCAAGAUGAAGCACAAAGGACUAAAAAUUAGCUUUUUGACUUUGACGGGGAUACCGUGU